This 397-nucleotide ribosomal RNA is filed under the name uncultured bacterium. Its description in RNAcentral is "bacterial SSU rRNA". It matches the Rfam family "Bacterial small subunit ribosomal RNA", at positions 44 to 437 of the family's 1533-position model. The record is from RNAcentral.
AGGCCUAACACAUGCAAGUCGAACGGUAACAGGAAACAGCUUGCUGUUUCGCUGACGAGUGGCGGACGGGUGAGUAAUGUCUGGGAAACUGCCUGAUGGAGGGGGAUAACUACUGGAAACGGUAGCUAAUACCGCAUAACGUCGCAAGACCAAAGAGGGGGACCUUCGGGCCUCUUGCCAUCGGAUGUGCCCAGAUGGGAUUAGCUAGUAGGUGGGGUAACGGCUCACCUAGGCGACGAUCCCUAGCUGGUCUGAGAGGAUGACCAACCACACUGGAACUGAGACACGGUCCAGACUCCUACGGGAGGCAGCAGUGGGGAAUAUUGCACAAUGGGCGCAAGCCUGAUGCAGCCAUGCCGCGUGUAUGAAGAAGGCCUUCGGGUUGUAAAGUACUUUC